This 28-nucleotide non-coding RNA is filed under the name Rattus norvegicus (Norway rat). The record is from RNAcentral. Lineage: Eukaryota; Metazoa; Chordata; Mammalia; Rodentia; Muridae.
UGACACCAGUGGCAAACAUCCUGGGCCC